UACGUAGGGUGCGAGCGUUAGUCGGAAUUACUGGGCGUAAAGCGUGCGCAGGCGGUUCGUUAAGUUCGUUGUGAAAGCCCCGGGCUCAACCUGGGAACUGCAAUGGAAACUGGCGGGCUUGAGUGUGGCAGAGGGGGGUGGAAUUCCGCGUGUAGCAGUGAAAUGCGUAGAGAUGCGGAGGAACACCGAUGGCGAAGGCAGCCCCCUGGGCCAACACUGACGCUCAGGCACGAAAGCGUGGGGAGCAAACAGG
This 253-nucleotide ribosomal RNA is filed under the name uncultured bacterium. RNAcentral describes it as "partial 16S ribosomal RNA". It matches the Rfam family "Bacterial small subunit ribosomal RNA", at positions 524 to 776 of the family's 1533-position model. The record is from RNAcentral.